This 28-nucleotide small RNA is filed under the name Bombyx mori (domestic silkworm). RNAcentral's name for it is "ovarian small RNA-32817". The record is from RNAcentral. Lineage: Eukaryota; Metazoa; Arthropoda; Insecta; Lepidoptera; Bombycidae.
UGAUGAGUAGUGUUACCGUAUGGUUCCC